GAUGGGACCCAAAGCUAGAUCUGAUGGAGCCCAAGUCCUCUCCUUACGGAUGGUUGUGAGCCACCAUGUGGUUGCUGGGAUUUGAACUCAGGGCCUUUGGAAGAUCAGUCAGUGCUCUUAACUGCUAAGCCAUCUCUCCAGUCCCCUUUUUAAGUUUUGAGGCAGGAUCUCACUUUGGCUGACAUUAGACUCCUGAUUCUCCUGCCUCAGCGUCCCUAGCGCAGAGGUGACAGGUGUACACUGUCAUGCCUGCCUCCUUUGAUCGAUUAACGAAUCAAUCACAUUUCACUCUGUAUCUUGGCUAGUUUCAAACUCAAGGUGAUUCCCCUGCCUCAGUUUCCCAAGUUCUGGAGAUCGUAGAGGGUACCCUCACACCAGCUUUGUCUUCCCCCAGGUCUGGGGUGACAAGCUGAUUCCUGGGAGGCUUAGGUGGGUGUCAAGGACAGGCUGACUCUGGCUUGUUUCCACACAGUCCCUCUGAGUGAGCCACAGAGUGGUGACAUCCUGGGAUAAUUACUGCCACCACAAGUCUAGACAGACCUGCUAAGGGCACCAGCAAACAAAGAGCGCUUUGUGCUGGGGUCAGGGGUCAAUCGGUCAGACGCAGCUGUGCUGCUCUUGCACAGGGGUCUUUUCAGGUAGAUGACCCGGGACGGUGCCCCUGCCUGGUGCUUUCCAGGGUGCUGGGUACUGAGCCAGGAUUCCGGAAGUGGGAUUUGGAGCUCACAGCCCUCUUCUCCCAGGACAGCUGGAACCAGGUGUCCAGGGACAAAAGGCAGAACCUGGUGACGGUGACAUUCCUUGUGUGUCUGUUACCAGUCCCCACUACACUGGCUUUCUCAGCUAGAGUCCCCCAAAAAGCACAGUGUCAGCACUGCAGUUUUUGUCCUCUGGAAGCCCCUGGCCUUCACAGGGACAUUACACACCAGCUCGCACCUCAGGUUUCCUAGGUGAAGGCCUGUGUUCAACACCACUUCCCUGUCCUGUGUGAGUCCUGCUGAGGGGCGAGUGAGUGCUGAGCCCACAGCCAGGCUUCACUAUGGAUUGGGGGCGGGGGGCUUGACUUUUGUCUAUUUUUUGAGACAGGGUUUCUUUGUAUAGCCCUAGGUAUUCUGGAACUCACUAUGUAAACCAGGUUGGCCUUGAAGUCAGAGAUCCUCUUGCCCCUGUGUCUGAAGUGCUGGGUUUACAGCUGUGUGCCACCAUGCCUGGCAUUCUGUUUCUUUUUUUGAGACAGCGUCUCAAGUAGCCCAGGUUAGUCUCAAACUCACUAUUAGCACUAGAAGUCCUGAGUCUUCUGCUUUGGGCUUACAAGAAGUGCAGAGGCAAUGAGCUCACAGGCGUAUACCUUCCUCAGUAUCCUGAGGUGAUGAGCUCACAGGUGUAUACCUUCCUCAGUAUCCUGAGGUGAUGAGCUCACAGGUGUAUACCUUCCUCAGUAUCCUGAGGUGAUGAGCUCACAGGUGUAUACCCUCAUCAGUAUCCUGAGGUGAUGAGCUCACAGGUGUAUACCUUCCUCAGUAUCCUGAGGUGAUGAGCUCACAGGUGUAUACCUUCCUCAGUAUCCUGAGGUGAUGAGCUCACAGGUGUAUACCUUCCUCAGUAUCCUGAGGUGAUGAGCUGACAGGUCUAUACCUUCCUCAGUAUCCUGAGGUGAUGAGCUCACAGGUGUAUACCCUCAUCAGUAUCCUGAGGUGAUGAGCUCACAGGUGUAUACCUUCCUCAGUAUCCUGAGGUGAUGAGCUCACAGGUGUAUACCUUCCUCAGUAUCCUGAGGUGAUGAGCUCACAGGUGUAUACCUUCCUCAGUAUCCUGAGGUGAUGAGCUCACAGGUGUAUACCUGUCAUUGAUAUCCUGUCACGUGUCUGCCCUUCCAUCUUUCUUUGGGCACUUUUAGUGAGGCCACCAUUGGGAACAGUGUGGGACCUGUGGGAACAGCAUGAGGAGUCUCUGGAGGCCCAGGCAGCCAUUUGUAGCAGCAUUAACAGACUCCUGAGGGAGCCACUGCCAUAGAGUUUGUUCUUAGGGAGCUCCUCAAAGAUAAGGUAGCGAGACAGCAGGUGUGGUGGCCCACAGCUGCCACCCCAACCCUGGGGAGGCAGAGGCGGGAGUGCUCGGAGGCCCACACUAGCAUGGGCAUAGUUAACCCUGGCUAGAAACGGGAGCAACUGUUCCCUAAUAGAAUAUUUAACCUUUGUUUUUCUUUUGGAGACAGUGUCACUCUGUAGCCCAGGCUGCCCCACACUCUGUUCCCCUAUCUCAGACUCCAGUGCAGGUAUGACAAGUGUGUGCUGGCUCAGUCAGCUUCAAACCCUGAAACACCGUGGUCCCUAGUGCUAGUGACGGCUGCUCACCUAGGGUGACUUAUGUGUGAGCCCAUGGGUGGGCUAGCCCUGGCCUGCCCUGAGUGCACCCCUUGAAAGGUUGGGAUGUUGGUAAGUGGCCUUGGUGCCUGGACCCUGGCUUCAUUUCCUGCUUUUGUGAACUACAGAUUUACACCUUGAUUCGAAUAACACAUGUGGGAGCUCCGGGACAUCACCAGGGCUCCUGGGUAAACACUGAAAAGGGAUAUGGGGCGAAAGGCUAUGGAGUGAUUCACUUAUUUUAGUUUUUAUUUGUUUGUUUUAUUUUUGGUGCUUUUUGGGAUAGUCCCUCUACAUAGUCCUAGCUAUACUGCAACUUGCCCUGCAGAUCGGGCUAGCCUCACAUUCACAGAGGCCCUCUUGCCUCUGCCUCGCACGUGCUGGAAUUAAAUGUGUGUGUUGCCACAUCUGGCCUCUGCUUUUUAAGAUUGAUUUAUUUAUUUUAUGUGAAUAUACUGUUGCUGCCUUCAGACACACCAGAAGAGGGCAUUGGAUCCCAUUACAGAUGGUUGUGAGCCACCAUGUGGUUGCUGGGAUUUGAACUCAGGACCUCUGGAAGAGCAGCCAGUGCUCUUAACCGCUGAGCCAUCUCUCCAGCCCCCUUCCCCACCACACAAAGUCCCAUCUAGCCCAGGCUGGCCUCCAAAGCACUUACUACAUAGCCCAGGCUGACCUUGAACUUCUGAUCCUCCUGCCAGCAUUUCCCAUAAGGUAUGGGUGACAGAAUGUGAUAUUUAAAUUAGAUUUAUUUAAAUUAUGCGCAUGUAAAUGCCUGUCGUGGGAGCCACAGGUGUGCAAAUGCCUCGUGAGGCCUGGGACAUCGCAGAGGUGGAAUUACAGGUGACUGGAGCUAGGAGCCGAACUCAGGUCCUCUGGAAGAGCGGCGAGGGCUCUCGCCUCUCGCCAGCCCUGUUUUGUUUUUUGAGAUAGGGCCCCACAGCAGCCCAGGUUUUCCUGGGACUCGCAGCAAUCCCAUGCCUCAAAGUCUUGAAUGAUCUGCACCAUCAGCUCUGCUGGGGAAGGUUUAGUUUGUUUUCCUGUUUAUCAGUGAAGUUCCAAAGGUCACUGACUACAGUUGCCAUGGCAACUGCUCGCCCUUUGUCCUUUCCCCACUCACCCAGUAGGUGGCGCACUUACCCUGCCCCAGCUCCAGCGCAAAUCCAAAGAAACUAGGCCUUUGGGGUUUGUUUGUUUGUUUGUUUGUUUUGGCUUUUUUGAGACAGGGUUUCUCUGUGUAGCCCUGGCUGUCCUGGAACUCACUCUGUAGACCAGGCUGGCCUCGAACUCAGAAAUCCGCCUGCCUCUGCCUGCCAGAGUGCUGGGAUUACAGGCGUGUGUCACCACCGCCCGGCUCCUUUGGGUUUUGUAAUUCCUUCAGGUUUUGUUUUUUUUUUUGUUUGUUUGUUUGUUUGGGUUGUGGGGUGUAUGUUUGUGCCUGCCUAGUGUUUGGGAUGAUAGGCUGUGCUGCUGCCACACCAGUCUGUGUGGUGCUGGGAAGGAGCCCAGGUUUUGCCCACAUCCUGGGCAAAUUCCCCCAACUGAGCUACAGCUCCGCUGACCAGUGAGCUUCAGCCCUAAACCUUUUUUGCUAUUUUGUUUCUUGUUUCUGUGAGACAGAGUCUCACUGUAUAGCCCAGGCUAACCUGGAAUUCAUUGUGUAGAAGAGGAGGCUGGCUUUAAUGUAGCAGCAAUUCUCCUGCCUCAGCCUCUCCAGUGUUAAGACCAUUCUCAGUACCAUGACAGCGAUACCUGCCUUAACCUUCUUUUUUAUGCUGUGGUCUUUGUCAUAGCUGCAGAAAUGGGUGAAUACCCAUUCUUCCUCAGGCAGCCACUGUGCGUCCUGGUCCCUGGAGGCUCUGGGCCCCUGUGGCAAGGUAUUUCCUGGCUAGUCCUGCAGUGGUCGCCAGAAAAAGCUGCGGAUGGACUGGGGUGCUCGGUGGGCUUGUGAGGUCAAGACUGUUUUUUCAGGAGGCACAGAGUCUCAUGUGGCCGAGGCUGCCUUCAGUUUUUCUGUGUAGCUGAGGAUGACCUCAAACUCCUGCUCCUGCCUCCAUCUUUCAAGGGCUGUGUGACCCCUGUGUGCCACACCCACCUGAACUGCCUGGUGUUCAUCGCAGCCCUUCGUCCUCACCCCUGCCUUUUC
Molecule: long non-coding RNA, 4506 nt
Organism: Apodemus sylvaticus (European woodmouse)
Lineage: Eukaryota; Metazoa; Chordata; Mammalia; Rodentia; Muridae
Exons: 4
Source: RefSeq, a predicted model, not a curated record